RNAcentral lists this non-coding RNA (52 nucleotides) under unclassified sequences. Its description in RNAcentral is "DUF3800-VI RNA". It matches the Rfam family "DUF3800-VI RNA". From Rfam's summary of the family: Actinobacteria, Planctomycetes, Proteobacteria, Spirochaetes. Nearby to DUF3800 The record is from RNAcentral.
CGAUCAGGAGGGUUGCAUUUGCGAUCCGUUAUGAAGCAUUCAUACCUGGUUG